UGCUCAGGACGAACGCGGCGGCGUGCCUAAUACAUGCAAGUCGAGCGAAUCAUUAGGAGCUUGCUCCUAAUGAUUAGCGGCGGACGGGUGAGUAACACGUGGGCAACCUGCCUAUAAGACUGGGAUAACUUCGGGAAACCGGAGCUAAUACUGGAUAAUCCUAUUCCUCUCAUGGGGAAUAGCUGAAAGACGGUUUCGGCUGUCACUUAUAGAUGGGCCCGCGGCGCAUUAGCUAGUUGGUGAGGUAACGGCUCACCAAGGCAACGAUGCGUAGCCGACCUGAGAGGGUGAUCGGCCACACUGGGACUGAGACACGGCCCAGACUCCUACGGGAGGCAGCAGUAGGGAAUCUUCCGCAAUGGACGAAAGUCUGACGGAGCAACGCCGCGUGAACGAUGAAGGCCUUCGGGUCGUAAAGUUCUGUUGUUAGGGAAGAACAAGUAUCGGAGUAACUGCCGGUACCUUGACGGUACCUAACCAGAAAGCCACGG
Molecule: ribosomal RNA, 491 nt
Filed under: Bacillus sp. 105-4.2-LH-A-23
Lineage: Bacteria; Bacillati; Bacillota; Bacilli; Caryophanales; Bacillaceae
Description: bacterial SSU rRNA
Rfam family: Bacterial small subunit ribosomal RNA
Source: RNAcentral